This 449-nucleotide ribosomal RNA is filed under the name uncultured bacterium. Its description in RNAcentral is "partial 16S ribosomal RNA". It matches the Rfam family "Bacterial small subunit ribosomal RNA", at positions 29 to 523 of the family's 1533-position model. The record is from RNAcentral.
AGCGAACGCUGGCGGCAGGCCUAACACAUGCAAGUCGAACGAACUCUUCGGAGUUAGUGGCGGACGGGUGAGUAACACGUGGGAACGUGCCUUUAGGUUCGGAAUAACUCAGGGAAACUUGUGCUAAUACCGAAUGUGCCCUUCGGGGGAAAGAUUUAUCGCCUUUAGAUCGGCCCGCGUCUGAUUAGCUAGUUGGUGGGGUAAUGGCUCACCAAGGCUACGAUCAGUAGCUGGUCUGAGAGGAUGACCAGCCACAUUGGGACUGAGACACGGCCCAAACGCCUACGGGAGGCAGCAGUGGGGAAUCUUGCGCAAUGGGCGAAAGCCUGACGCAGCCAUGCCGCGUGGAUGAUGAAGGUCUUAGGAUUGUAAAAUCCUUUCACCGGUGAAGAUAAUGACUGUAGCCGGAGAAGAAGCCCCGGCUAACUUCGUGCCAGCCGCCGCAGUAA